Molecule: ribosomal RNA, 104 nt
Filed under: uncultured bacterium
Lineage: Bacteria
Description: partial 16S ribosomal RNA
Rfam family: Bacterial small subunit ribosomal RNA
Source: RNAcentral
CCUUGUACACACCGCCCGUCACACCAUGGGAGUUUACUGCACCAGAAGCCGGUAGCCUAACCGCAAGGGGGGCGCCGUCCACGGUGUGGUCGAUGACUGGGGUG